GCAUGGUAAUGGAUUUAUGGUGGGUCCUCCUCUGUGGGCCUCUCAUAGUGUACCCAUGCCACAGAAAAUUGCAGCCUUGAACCAUUGCCCAGCCUCCUUACCUGUGGGCUGUGAGUACUGAAGGGGCUUUAUACAG
Molecule: small nucleolar RNA, 136 nt
Organism: Camelus dromedarius (Arabian camel)
Lineage: Eukaryota; Metazoa; Chordata; Mammalia; Artiodactyla; Camelidae
Source: Ensembl